Molecule: non-coding RNA, 81 nt
Organism: Podarcis lilfordi (Lilford's wall lizard)
Lineage: Eukaryota; Metazoa; Chordata; Lepidosauria; Squamata; Lacertidae
Source: the annotation of a GenBank genome assembly
CAGAUUUGUUGUGGCUCUCUCUUUUGCCUUCCUCUCUCUAUCUCAUAGGAAGGCAAAAGAGAGAGCCACAACAAAUCUGAU